UAUGGACUAGAUAAAUUUAUGUAC
Molecule: non-coding RNA, 24 nt
Filed under: Cricetulus griseus (Chinese hamster)
Lineage: Eukaryota; Metazoa; Chordata; Mammalia; Rodentia; Cricetidae
Source: RNAcentral